GAAGCAGCAGAGAGAGAGAGAGUUUGUUGUGUCAAUAACAAGGACCUGUCUAGGAAACCAGUUUAUGUUGCAAACUUGUGGAUAACUUGAUCUUUUGGCUACACACUUGUCCAGUUUUAUCCCAAUUAUCUCACUUCUGCAGACACUUUCCCAUUUUAAAACAGCUAAAUUGAGAGCCUGACUUCUGUCCGUGAACUUACCGGACUGCAGCACGGGCUGGAACUGACCAGCCAUGCAGAUCUCUUCCUGUUUCUGGCGGACGAUGCGCUGGAUUGCAGGAGGUAGGCCACGGGGGUUGCGUGAGAAGAUCAGGGCAUAGCCGUCAUCACAUGUGCCAUCAUCCU
This is a non-coding RNA of Pimephales promelas (fathead minnow), 344 nucleotides long. NCBI's taxonomy places the organism in Eukaryota, Metazoa, Chordata, Actinopteri, Cypriniformes, Leuciscidae. The record is from RefSeq and is a predicted model, not a curated record.